RNAcentral lists this long non-coding RNA (2090 nucleotides) under Nicotiana tabacum (common tobacco). RNAcentral's name for it is "long non-coding RNA (NTAB_LNC014814)". Lineage: Eukaryota; Viridiplantae; Streptophyta; Magnoliopsida; Solanales; Solanaceae. The record is from RNAcentral.
CCGAAUAGAAAUCAAUGUGGCUUGAGACAUGAUACAAAACAAUAGCAAGUAAAGAAAUGGGCCAAAGGCUUGUGAGUCAGAUGGAUUCCAAUGGAAGAAAUCCAAAGUCCAAAUAGCCCUUAGAAAAUUGGAUGGGCUCGCAUGACUCCCUUGUUAGGUCCUUUUACAAUAUCUGACUCAAUUAGAGCAUCAAAAGCAUUAAUACAAAUCUGGAAUUUUACCAACACAAAAAAACUUUGCAAAUCACACUCCAACUUUGAUUACAGCUAAACAUAAUGUUGAAUUAAAGUUGCUAUCUACAGAUUCAGAACCAAGAAAACUUGUCUAACACAAUUAUUCAUUCACAACAAGAAAACUGAGUUCUAUUGCCUAUUCAUGUAAGGAUUCAACGAAAUUUCAGCUAAAACUUUUAACUAUUUACCACCAAAUAUGAUUGAUUCAGUUGAUAUACAAACUUUAAUAUAGCCAAAUUCAACAUUUAACAAUUGAAAUCACAAUAUAACACCUUAAGGAUUCAACAUUACAUGAAGCUUAUAUACUAAAUACAAUUCUAUAUCUAUUAAUAUUGCGAGGCAGGACAAUGGUUAACAAAAGAGAUAUACGAAUUAAUAGAACAUAGAAACCAAUUACUGAAAAACGAUGACUAAUUACACCAGCCUUAACACACAUGCAUCUUCAUAUCCACUUCACAUUCCAAGAAUUCAAAGGGAUACCUGGAUACAGCAAAGCAAAAACCAAAAAAUGUGUUUGAAAAUCAGCUUAUGGCAACAAGAAAAUAAAAGGCUCAGCAGCAAGGAACAACAGUGAUAAUCAACCAACAACCUCAAUAACCAGCCAUAUUUCAGCUUAGAAAACCAAAAAAUCCCAUGAAAGAUUCACUUCCAAACUUUUAGCCAAAAGAAAAUAAAAGCUCACAACUAGAUGGUUCUUUUUUCAGCAAUAUCUUUUAGCCAUUUUCUCUUUUUGUGUCCUAAAUCUCUACCCUAGAAAUGAGGAAAAUGAGCCUCUUAUAGAAAGGCUUUAGGGCAGCAUAAUCAGAUUUCUUCCUUUACUAUUACCCUUCCCCAAUUCCCUUUUUGUUCAUUUCAUACCCUAAAUUUAAGCCUGUUUGUUAAACCACCCACUUUCCACCUUCCUAGAAGCUUCCCAGAUAGUUAGGAAAGAUUCUUUCUAUUCAAUUCUCCUAACUACCCCUUAAAAGCUUUGAUAAUUACUUUUAACCUACCAUACAUUUGAACCAAUAUGCCCUUUGGGCUUCUGCACUAACAAACCUCAACAAUCUCUUUGGGCUUCUUGCACUAGCAAGCCCAAUUCCAAAUUUUGAGCAGACAAACUCACAAGAAAUCCAAACUAACCGAGUUCUGAACCCUACUAACAUCAGACUUUCUAAAGAAGCAGAAACAAAAAGAAAAGGAGCAAAAGGAAAGGAGAAAAUUAACAAGUACUAAAAAAGUGAUUAACUUUACAUUUUAAAACUAUUAUUACCAAAUUAAUCGAUUAAAAACUCAUAUGUUCUAAACCUAACUGAGAUAAAGAGGAAGAGAAAUAUACCAAAUAGAUCGAUGGCCCAGAGAUGAUGACAUCUGGCGAGAAGACCUCAGCCAAUGGUGGGAACUGUAACAUGAGCACUGACCAGAAUUUAUUCAACGACUAGUGCUCUGUGUCACAAUCCUCAUCAUGAGCCAAGAACGAAGAAGAAAUAGAAGCUUUAAAUAAAGGCACAUCGGAGAUUGCUACCCAGAAUUUGGCGACCAUGCACAAAUCGAAACUUUAGCCAAUUGGAUCCUUACAUCGAAACUAGCCGACUCACACAUGUUCAACAUCAAGAAGAGGACAGAUUGGAGGUGGGGGGGGGGGAUUAAACAAAAAGGGACGAAAAGGAUUUUAUUGCUAUUUUAGAUUUCUAAUUCAAGGAAGCUGAGUUAUUUUUGGAAAGAAAUAGCAGUGGAUUCGGAGUGAGGGGAUGAUAGGGGUUAUAUGGUCAAGAUUUGAGGGAGUUUGGAGACCAACCACCGCCACUGGCAAUUUUCGAUAGGUGGCGGACGACGUUGAGAUAGAAGGGGUAAAGGAGAUGAUGGACAUGGUCCUAG